AUUCCUACGGGAGGCAGCAGUGGGGAAUUUUCCGCAAUGGGCGAAAGCCUGACGGAGCAAUACCGCGUGAGGGAAGAAGGCCUAUGGGUUGUAAACCUCUUUUUUCAGGGAGGAACAAAAUGACGUGUACCUGAAGAAUAAGCAUCGGCUAACUCCGUGCCAGCAGCCGCGGUAAGACGGAGGAUGCAAGUGUUAUCCGGAAUUACUGGGCGUAAAGCGUCUGUAGGUGGUUUAAUAAGUCAACUGUUAAAUCUUGAGGCUUAACUUCAAAACAGCAGUCGAAACUAUUAGACUAGAGUAUAGUAGAGGUAAAGGGAAUUUCCAGUGGAGCGGUGAAAUGCGUAGAUAUUGGAAAGAACACCGAUGGCGAAAGCACUUUACUGGGCUAUUACUAACACUCAGAGACGAAAGCUAGGGUAGCAAAUGGGAUUAGAUACCCCAGUAGUCCUAGCUGUAAACAAUGGAUACUAGAUGUUGAACAGAUCGACCUGUGCAGUAUUAAAGCUAACGCGUUAAGUAUCCCGCCUGGGAAGUAUGCUCGCAAGAGUGAAACUCAAAGGAAUUGACGGAAU
Molecule: ribosomal RNA, 572 nt
Filed under: uncultured bacterium
Lineage: Bacteria
Description: bacterial SSU rRNA
Rfam family: Bacterial small subunit ribosomal RNA
Source: RNAcentral